RNAcentral lists this ribosomal RNA (392 nucleotides) under uncultured bacterium. RNAcentral's name for it is "bacterial SSU rRNA". It matches the Rfam family "Bacterial small subunit ribosomal RNA", at positions 505 to 898 of the family's 1533-position model. The record is from RNAcentral.
GUGUCAGCAGCCGCGGUAAUACGGAGGAUGCGAGCGUUAUCCGGAAUCACUGGGUUUAAAGGGUGCGUAGGCUGUUUUGAAAGUCAGGAGUGAAAGGUUCCCGCUUAACGGGAGAAGUGCUUUUGAUACUUUGGAACUGGAAUGAGAUUGAGGCUGGCGGAAUGUGACAUGUAGCGGUGAAAUGCAUAGAUAUGUCAUAGAACACCAAUUGCGAAGGCAGCUGGCUGGGUCUUUAUUGACGCUGAGGCACGAAAGCGUGGGUAGCGAACAGGAUUAGAUACCCUGGUAGUCCACGCCCUAAACGAUGCUAACUCGAUGUUUGUCUCGUAGAGAUGAGCGUCCAAGGGAAACCGUUAAGUUAGCCACCUGGGGAGUACGUCGGCAACGAUGAA